This is a long non-coding RNA of Triticum urartu, 962 nucleotides long. RefSeq lists it as uncharacterized. Lineage: Eukaryota; Viridiplantae; Streptophyta; Magnoliopsida; Poales; Poaceae. The record is from RefSeq and is a predicted model, not a curated record.
CCUAUCUUUUCGCGAACGCAGGAACUGGGCGACAGAAGGGGCUGGCGGUGGCGGCAGGCCUCGAGGCUGAGCCCUAGACAGCUAGACGCAUGGCCGGCGCUCCCGGGCAGUCUACUAGUCCGGUCGUCCAAUCAGCCCUUCUUCAUCUCUUCCGGCUUGGCUUCAGCUUCUUUCGAGCUUUUUCAGAAAUGACGAUUAUCAAGAAUAAAGUCGGAGCAAGAUCAAUAUUGAAUGGCUCAACGACUAGAUGAUAUGUUACACCAGGCGGGAGUUAUUCAAGUUAGUUGAUGAUAAGGACAUUAUUCGAAAAUUUACUGCAAUGAGGACUCGAAAAGGGCAUUUGCCUCGUGAUUUUCUUUAGUGCACUGUCAUGCCUUUUAGGACUUUGACAACAUCGCGAGUUUACCUCUAUGCAACACUGGUUAUACGUCUUUCUUUUGGAAAAAAUAAACAAACGAGAGAUGCUUUUGACUGUGGUGGAUGAAAUUUCGCAAUGACAUCCGGUGGCAUCUGGUAUGGAUAGAUUUACUUUUGUUGGCAACAUGGCGAGUUUGCCUCUAUGCAAGUCUACUUAUAUAUCUUGUGUUGUCAAGUCUCAACUUUAUUUGGUCCAUCAAAGGGAUAUUGAUAUAUUAUAUAUUCGUUCACCUUAAAAUUAAAAUUUGUGGGAUUAAUAUUGUUAUGUUUUCACUUGAUUACUAAUUUGAAUUUGUGGUUCAAAAGUUCGGUGCUAUAUUGUAUGUUGUGUAUUUAAAUACCCGGAUUUUGAUUUCUAGAUUAUACACUUAGGAUCAACUUGCCCAGGCUCCACAAAAGUUCUGUCUCCGCCACUGGCGCCGAGCACCAUUAUUCACUGAUAGAUGGGGUCAUACACAUGGAUAGGCCGUGUCUCUGUGACUUGGCAGUGAUAUUACCUUCGAAAACAUAUAUCACCGGAUGCAUAGAGUUGUACUAGAGUGUGA